CAGUAGCCGCGGUAAUACGAAGGGUGCAAGCGUUAAUCGGAAUUACUGGGCGUAAAGCGCGCGUAGGUGGUUUGGUAAGAUGGAUGUGAAAUCCCCGGGCUCAACCUGGGAACUGCAUCCAUAACUGCCUGACUAGAGUACGGUAGAGGGUGGUGGAAUUUCCUGUGUAGCGGUGAAAUGCGUAGAUAUAGGAAGGAACACCAGUGGCGAAGGCGACCACCUGGACUGAUACUGACACUGAGUUGCGAAAGCGUGGGGAGCAAACAGGAUUAGAUACCCCGGUAGUCCUUGUCUCUUAUAC
RNAcentral lists this ribosomal RNA (301 nucleotides) under uncultured bacterium. Its description in RNAcentral is "partial 16S ribosomal RNA". It matches the Rfam family "Bacterial small subunit ribosomal RNA", at positions 509 to 807 of the family's 1533-position model. The record is from RNAcentral.